GGGUUGUGAGGUUAAGCGACUAAGCGUACACGGUGGAUGCCCUGGCAGUCAGAGGCGAUGAAGGACGUGCUAAUCUGCGAUAAGCGUCGGUGAGGUGAUAUGAACCGUUAUAACCGGCGAUUUCCGAAUG
This 130-nucleotide ribosomal RNA is filed under the name Escherichia coli. RNAcentral describes it as "partial 23S ribosomal RNA". It matches the Rfam family "Bacterial large subunit ribosomal RNA", at positions 1 to 120 of the family's 2925-position model. The record is from RNAcentral. Lineage: Bacteria; Pseudomonadati; Pseudomonadota; Gammaproteobacteria; Enterobacterales; Enterobacteriaceae.